RNAcentral lists this ribosomal RNA (255 nucleotides) under uncultured bacterium. Its description in RNAcentral is "partial 16S ribosomal RNA". It matches the Rfam family "Bacterial small subunit ribosomal RNA", at positions 524 to 776 of the family's 1533-position model. The record is from RNAcentral.
CACGUAGGGGGCGAGCGUUGUCCGGAAUCAUUGGGCGUAAAGAGCUCGUAGGCGGCUCGGUAAGUCGGGUGUGAAACCCCCAGGCUCAACCUGGGGACGCCACCCGAUACUGCUGUGGCUAGAGUCCAGUAGGGGAGUGUGGAAUUUCCGGUGUAGCGGUGAAAUGCGUAGAUAUCGGAAGGAACACCGAGUGGCGAAAGCGGCUUCCUGGUCCAGCACCGACGUUCAGGCACGAAAGCGUGGGGAGCAAACAGG